AAUGGGCGAAAGCCUGAUGCAGCAACGCCGCGUGAGCGAUGAAGGCCUUUGGGUCGUAAAGCUCUGUCCUUGGGGAAGAAACAAAUGACGGUACCCUUGGAGGAAGCCCCGGCUAACUACGUGCCAGCAGCCGCGGUAAUACGUAGGGGGCGAGCGUUAUCCGGAAUUACUGGGCGUAAAGGGUGCGUAGGUGGUUUUUUAAGUCAGAAGUGAAAGGCUACGGCUCAACCGUAGUAAGCUUUUGAAACUAGAGAACUUGAGUGCAGGAGAGGAGAGUAGAAUUCCUAGUGUAGCGGUGAAAUGCGUAGAUAUUAGGAGGAAUACCAGUAGCGAAGGCGGCUCUCUGGACUGUAACUGACACUGAGGCACGAAAGCGUGGGGAGCAAA
This 387-nucleotide ribosomal RNA is filed under the name uncultured bacterium. RNAcentral describes it as "bacterial SSU rRNA". It matches the Rfam family "Bacterial small subunit ribosomal RNA", at positions 370 to 772 of the family's 1533-position model. The record is from RNAcentral.